ACACGACUACAUUAGAUACCCGCGUAGUCCCAGCCCUAAACGAUGCGCGUUAGGUGUAUCGGUGACCACGAGUCACCGAGGUGCCGAAGGGAAACCGUGAAACGUGCCGCCGUGGGAAGUACGGUCGCAAGGCUAGAAACUUAAAGGAAUUGGCGGGGAGCACCACAACGGGUGGAGCCUGCGGUUUAAUUGGACUCAACGCCGGGAAGCUCACCGGAUAAGACAGCGGAAUGAUUGCCGGGCUGAAGACCCUGCAUGACCAGCUG
Molecule: ribosomal RNA, 266 nt
Filed under: uncultured archaeon
Lineage: Archaea
Description: partial 16S ribosomal RNA
Rfam family: Archaeal small subunit ribosomal RNA
Source: RNAcentral